CUCCGCCUCUGUCAAACAGUGGAUGCUGAGCGCCACGGACCUAUGGCGUGCAUCAGUCGAGAAUUUCUUUGUUGGGAAACGGUUGCGCUGAAUCCUCUUUUGUUUUGAGACUGCCUCUGCAUAGGGCCCGGGAUCUUGUGCGGCCCCCUGGGGACGUCCCCUGUUUGCUGGUGCUCUUGCUGAGGCAUGGGAAAAAUAAAGGAGCUGGAAAAAACACCUGCUAGUGACAU
Molecule: long non-coding RNA, 230 nt
Organism: Carassius auratus (goldfish)
Lineage: Eukaryota; Metazoa; Chordata; Actinopteri; Cypriniformes; Cyprinidae
Exons: 3
Source: RefSeq, a predicted model, not a curated record